RNAcentral lists this ribosomal RNA (482 nucleotides) under uncultured bacterium. RNAcentral's name for it is "bacterial SSU rRNA". It matches the Rfam family "Bacterial small subunit ribosomal RNA", at positions 29 to 507 of the family's 1533-position model. The record is from RNAcentral.
AGUGAACGCUGGCGGCAUGCCUUACACAUGCAAGUCGAACGGUAACAGGUCUUCGGAUGCUGACGAGUGGCGAACGGGUGAGUAAUACAUCGGAACGUGCCCGAUCGUGGGGGAUAACGAAGCGAAAGCUUUGCUAAUACCGCAUAAGAUCUACGGAUGAAAGCAGGGGACCGCAAGGCCUUGCGCGAACGGAGCGGCCGAUGGCAGAUUAGGUAGUUGGUGGGAUAAAAGCUUACCAAGCCGACGAUCUGUAGCUGGUCUGAGAGGACGACCAGCCACACUGGGACUGAGACACGGCCCAGACUCCUACGGGAGGCAGCAGUGGGGAAUUUUGGACAAUGGGCGAAAGCCUGAUCCAGCCAUGCCGCGUGCAGGAUGAAGGCCUUCGGGUUGUAAACUGCUUUUGUACGGAACGAAAAGACUCUGGUUAAUACCUGGGGUCCAUGACGGUACCGUAAGAAUAAGCACCGGCUAACUACGUG